Molecule: transfer RNA, 64 nt
Filed under: Phractolaemus ansorgii (hingemouth)
Lineage: Eukaryota; Metazoa; Chordata; Actinopteri; Gonorynchiformes; Kneriidae
Description: tRNA-Cys
Source: RNAcentral
AGCUCUGGGGUGUAAGCAUGUUGGGUUGCAAACCCGAAGACGCAGGUUACCGCCUGCCGGGGCU